GCUCGCGUAUGCGCUGGGCGCAUUGCGCGCCGGCCUCACCGGCCGGCCCAUCGCCGUGCGGGUCGAGGACGCGAGCG
RNAcentral lists this transfer RNA (77 nucleotides) under Capillimicrobium parvum. RNAcentral describes it as "tRNA-Val". Lineage: Bacteria; Bacillati; Actinomycetota; Thermoleophilia; Solirubrobacterales; Capillimicrobiaceae. The record is from RNAcentral.